RNAcentral lists this ribosomal RNA (468 nucleotides) under uncultured bacterium. Its description in RNAcentral is "partial 16S ribosomal RNA". It matches the Rfam family "Bacterial small subunit ribosomal RNA", at positions 28 to 507 of the family's 1533-position model. The record is from RNAcentral.
GACGAACGCUGGCGGCGUGCUUAACACAUGCAAGUCGAACGGUGACGGCAGAGCUUGCUCUGCCUGACCAGUGGCGAACGGGUGAGUAACACGUGAGUAACCUGCCCCUCACUUCGGGAUAACCCCGGGAAAUCGUGGCUAAUACCGGAUAUGAGACCUUAAUGCAUGGUCGGGUAUGGAAAGAUUUGUCGGUGGGGGAUGGACUCGCGGCAUAUCAGCUUGUUGGUGAGGUAACGGCUCACGAAGCCGACGACGGGUAGCCGGCCUGAGAGGGCGACCGGCCACACUGGGACUGAGAUACGGCCCAGACUCCUACGGGAGGCAGCAGUGGGGAAUAUUGCACAAUGGGCGAAAGCCUGAUGCAGCGACGCCGCGUGAGUGAUGAAGGCCUUCGAGUUGUAAACCUCUUUCAGCAGAGAAGAAGCGAAAGUGACGGUACCUGCAGAAGAAGCGCCGGCUAACUACGUG